UCUGCCUGAGUGUAGAGCAAAAAGGGCGCUUUUCCACCACUAUCUAUGCACAGGCUAGAGUGGGAUUGCUCAAUUUGAUUAUCCAGUUUGUAGUUGUAUGCUACCCCCACCCACCCACACACACUCAGGCUCUCGUACCCAUAUAUGCCUGCAUUUACACAUACAUGAGAAUCAGAACUACUUUUCCUACAUUUUUACCUCUUUAGGCAUAAAUUUUAAGCAGUAGUGCACUGAAUACUGCUCCUACUAGUGCAUAAUUACUAUAGUUUCACAAAUUUUUAAAGGUGUUUUGCAUCACGUUGACAGGUUGAAAUUGGUCAUGGUAGGAUUAUUUACAGAUGGCUAAUCAACAAAUGGUACAAUUCACAGCUUGUCCUCCAGUAUCCUUUGCUGACACUCCCAUGUGGCUUUGUGUAGAACAAUGAUCCAUAGCCAGGAUGCCCACAGACAUCACACUGGCUGUUCUGAGAAGAAUGAAUGACAAGAGACAAAGAAUGAAAGGAAGGCAAAGAUUCUGGGAAGAUGAUGUUAGGACUCAGAAAACAACACCCCAAAAUAAAAGCCUCAGAAGCAA
Long non-coding RNA from Homo sapiens (human), 574 nucleotides. RefSeq lists it as uncharacterized. The record is from RefSeq and is a predicted model, not a curated record. NCBI's taxonomy places the organism in Eukaryota, Metazoa, Chordata, Mammalia, Primates, Hominidae. The transcript is spliced from 3 exons.